Astatotilapia calliptera (eastern happy) is the source of this 1029-nucleotide long non-coding RNA. NCBI's taxonomy places the organism in Eukaryota, Metazoa, Chordata, Actinopteri, Cichliformes, Cichlidae. The record is from Ensembl.
GUUCGAAUUAAGCUGUGCUACUUUUUGUCAGUAAAUACUUGUAAUUAGUUGAAUUUGAACUUACAGUGUUUUCCAGUGCUAAUUAGGGUAAUUAAUGUAAUUAUUGAUCAAACAGCACUGUAUCUUGAUAGAGGAUUAUAAUGAUUAACAUGUCCUUUAUUCCGAUUUAAUCACUAAAGUCAUUCAAAUAAGCCAAGAAGAAGUUAAAGUGUUGGGGCUUAGAAGAGACUAAAUAAGCAAACUUAAAUCGUACUAUGUGUGAAAACAAAGAGAUAUUUUUCCUGUUAUGCUUGAUUUCUUCUAUGUAAGCGGGCAGGAGAUGAGUUUUGCAGUCCUUGUUUGAAAAGUGUGAGCUAAGGUCAACAUGGGAAGCUUCUUUAAUUCAGUCCAGUGUUUCUCUGUUUAUCUCCCUUCGACUUUUUUUUUUUUUUUUUUAGUGGGUACUGAUUAUUUUAGACUACAUCUUUCCAACAUUCAAUACAUAAAACAGUCCAACAAACAAACAGAUGCCCAACCAAAUCAGAAUUUUUUUUUCCCAAUAUAUAGAUAUCCCAAUAGAAUGAAAGUACCACUGUCCUCAAAUAUUUGACAAAUAAGUUUUAAUAAAUAAGCUAAUACCGGGCUUUAAUUAUCUUAUAAGAGAAAUGUGAUAAAUGUUGAUCAAUCAGUAGCACUUCAAAGCAAUUUAGCACUGUAAGGGAUAAUAUCCCCACAUAGUGUUUUGUACUGGAGACACUUAACAAAAAGGAAGCACUCUUCACACUGUAAUAUUUAAUGUAUUUACCAUUUGAGGUUUGUUUCUUUGUUUUUAUCUGAAAAUAAAAAAUCCAUGGAAACACUUUAGCAUAUAAAAUAAUAUAAUUAUUAAAGCUAUCAUAGGCACAAUUGUAAUAUGAAUUUUUAAGGCACCAUCUGUUUUGACAAUUUGCUAAUUAAAUAUGUCACAAAAGUGGCAGCUUGCAUUUGAAGACAGUGAAAGUUUAACACAUCUGAAGCAUCCCUGGCAUGGUUCCUGUGACUCAUCCAUGG